This 255-nucleotide ribosomal RNA is filed under the name uncultured bacterium. Its description in RNAcentral is "partial small subunit ribosomal RNA". It matches the Rfam family "Bacterial small subunit ribosomal RNA", at positions 26 to 285 of the family's 1533-position model. The record is from RNAcentral.
AGGACGAACGCUGGCGGCGUGCUUAACACAUGCAAGUCGAGCGGAAAGGCCCUUCGGGGUACUCGAGCGGCGAACGGGUGAGUAACACGUGAGUAAUCUGCCCCUAGCUCUGGGAUAGCUCCGGGAAAACCGGGAUUAAUACUGGAUACGACCACCUUAGACAUCUUUUGUGGUGGAAAGAAUUUCGGCUAGGGAUGAGCUCGCGGCCUAUCAGCUUGUUGGUGGGGUAACGGCCUACCAAGGCGACGACGGGUA